RNAcentral lists this ribosomal RNA (433 nucleotides) under uncultured bacterium. RNAcentral's name for it is "partial 16S ribosomal RNA". It matches the Rfam family "Bacterial small subunit ribosomal RNA", at positions 29 to 507 of the family's 1533-position model. The record is from RNAcentral.
AACGAACGCUGGCGGCAGGCUUAACACAUGCAAGUCGAGCGCAUCCUUCGGGGUGAGCGGCGGACGGGUGAGUAACGCGUGGGAACGUGCCCUCUUCUACGGAAUAGCCUCGUGAAACUGAGAGUAAUGCCGUAUACGCCCGCAAGGGGGAAGAUCUAUCGGAGGAGGAUCGGCCCGCGUUGGAUUAGGUAGGUGGUGGGGUAACGGCCUACCAAGCCGACGAUCCGUAGCUGGUUUGAGAGGAGGAUCAGCCACACUGGGACUGAGACACGGCCCAGACUCCUACGAGAGGCAGCAGUGGGGAAUCUUGGACAAUGGGCGCAACCCUGAACCAGCCAUGCCGCGUGAUCGAUGAAGGCCUUAGGGUUGUAAAGAUCUUUCAGCUGAGAAGAUAAUGACGGUACCAGCAGAAGAAGCCCCGGCUAACUCCGUG